This is a small nuclear RNA of Cercocebus atys (sooty mangabey), 104 nucleotides long. The record is from Ensembl. NCBI's taxonomy places the organism in Eukaryota, Metazoa, Chordata, Mammalia, Primates, Cercopithecidae.
AAGCUAACUUUGGCAGCACAUAUACUAAAAUUAGAACAAUACAAAGAUUAGUGUGGUCCCUGUGAAAGAAUGACACACAAAUUUGUGAUGCAAAAAAAAAAUCC